UGGUAGUGUAUUGGACAACCAUGGCAAUAACGGGUAACGGAGAAUUGGGGUUCGAUUCCGGAGAGGGAGCCUGAGAAACGGCUACCAUUUCUAAGGAAGGCAGCAGGCGCGUAAAUUACCCAAUCCUAAAUCAGGGAGGUAGUUAAUAGAAAUAAUAGGUUCGGCUCUUCGAGCUCUGAACAUAUAAUGAAUUAAAUUUAAAACAAUUUACGAAUCCUAUUGGAGGGCAAGUCUGGUGCCAGCAGCCGCGGUAAUUCCAGCUCCAAUAGCGUAUAUUAAUGUUGUUGCAGUUAAAAAGCUCGUAGUUGAAAGUCCGGCGCUUGUGCGUCUGUCUGGGAGGGCGGGCGAUACUGUAAAAGGUUUUGCCCGUAUGAACAGACUUUUACUGUGAACAAAUUAAAGUGCUUAAAGCAGGCUUUUGCUUGAAUAGUCUAGCAUGGAAUAAUAAAAUACGACUUUAUUCAUUUUAUUGGUUAUUGGAUAAAGUAAUGAUUAACAGAAACAGUUGGGGGCAUUCGUAUUUGAUAGUCAGAGGUGAAAUUCUUAGAUUUAUCAAAGACGAUCUAAAGCGAAAGCAUUUGCCAAGGAUGUUUUCACUAAUCAAGAACGAAAGUUAGGGGAUCAAAGACAAUCAGA
RNAcentral lists this ribosomal RNA (636 nucleotides) under uncultured ciliate. RNAcentral describes it as "SSU rRNA". It matches the Rfam family "Eukaryotic small subunit ribosomal RNA", at positions 326 to 1012 of the family's 1831-position model. Lineage: Eukaryota; Ciliophora. The record is from RNAcentral.